This 305-nucleotide ribosomal RNA is filed under the name uncultured bacterium. RNAcentral's name for it is "bacterial SSU rRNA". It matches the Rfam family "Bacterial small subunit ribosomal RNA", at positions 335 to 656 of the family's 1533-position model. The record is from RNAcentral.
UCCCCUACGGGGCGCAGCAGUGGGGGAUAUUGCACAAUGGGGGAAACCCUGAUGCAGCGACGCCGCGUGAGUGAAGAAGUAUUUCGGUACGUAAAGCUCUAUCAGCAGGGAAGAAUAAUGACGGUACCUGACUAAGAAGCCCCGGCUAACUACGUGCCAGCAGCCGCGGUAAUACGUAGGGGGCAAGCGUUAUCCGGAUUUACUGGGUGUAAAGGGAGCGUAGACGGCGAUGCAAGUCUGAAGUGAAAGGCGGGGGCCCAACCCCCGGACUGCUUUGGAAACUGUGUGGCUGGAGUGCAGGAGAG